RNAcentral lists this ribosomal RNA (466 nucleotides) under uncultured bacterium. RNAcentral's name for it is "partial 16S ribosomal RNA". It matches the Rfam family "Bacterial small subunit ribosomal RNA", at positions 28 to 506 of the family's 1533-position model. The record is from RNAcentral.
GACGAACGCUGGCGGCGUGCUUAACACAUGCAAGUCGAACGGUGAAGCAGAGCUUGCUCUGUGGAUCAGUGGCGAACGGGUGAGUAACACGUGAGUAACCUGCCCUUGACUCUGGGAUAAGCGUUGGAAACGACGUCUAAUACCGGAUACGAGCUGAGACCGCAUGGUCAUCAGUUGGAAAGAUUUUUUGGUCAAGGAUGGACUCGCGGCCUAUCAGCUUGUUGGUGAGGUAAUGGCUCACCAAGGCGACGACGGGUAGCCGGCCUGAGAGGGUGACCGGCCACACGGGGACUGAGACACGGCCCAGACUCCUACGGGGGGCAGCAGUGGGGAAUAUUGCACAAUGGGCGCAAGCCUGAUGCAGCAACGCCGCGGGGGGGAGGACGGCCUUCGGGUUGUAAACCUUUUUUAGUAGGGAAGAAGCGAAAGGGGCGGUACCUGCAGAAAAAGCACCGGCUAACUACGU